AAACGCGAUAGUUAAUGUGAAUUGCAGAAUUCAGUGAAUCAUCGAGUCUUUGAACGCACAUUGCGCCCAUAGGUAUUCCUUUGGGCAUGUCUGUUUGAGCGUCAUUACAACCCUCAGCUAACCGCUGGUUUUGAACCUGAACGGGUGACACCGCGCCGGUUUUAAAGUUGUAAGCUCUGCUGGCCGCUCUGCCCAACCAGAACAUAGUAAGCACUACUUGUCCGGGUGAAGCUGAACGGUACGGCCUGAACAAAACCUACCCACUCUCAAGGUUUGACCUGAGAUCAGACAAGGAUACCCGCUGAACUUAAGC
RNAcentral lists this unclassified non-coding RNA (313 nucleotides) under plant metagenome. Its description in RNAcentral is "partial contains 5.8S ribosomal RNA, internal transcribed spacer 2, and large subunit ribosomal RNA". The stretch from base 1 to 104 matches the Rfam family "5.8S ribosomal RNA", at positions 51 to 154 of the family's 154-position model. The record is from RNAcentral.